AACUUUUCAACAACGGAUCUCUUGGUUUCGGCAUCGAUUGAAGAAACGCCAGCCAAAAUGCGAUAAGUAAUGUGAAUUCGCAGAAUUCAGUGAAUCAUCGAAUCUUUGAACGCACAUUUGCGCCCGCCUGGUAUUCCGGCGGGCAUUGCCUGUUCGAGCGUCAUUU
This 166-nucleotide ribosomal RNA is filed under the name Fusarium sp. RNAcentral's name for it is "5.8S ribosomal RNA". It matches the Rfam family "5.8S ribosomal RNA". From Rfam's summary of the family: 5.8S ribosomal RNA (5.8S rRNA) is a component of the large subunit of the eukaryotic ribosome. It is transcribed by RNA polymerase I as part of the 45S precursor that also contains 18S and 28S rRNA. Lineage: Eukaryota; Fungi; Ascomycota; Sordariomycetes; Hypocreales; Nectriaceae. The record is from RNAcentral.